This 630-nucleotide long non-coding RNA is filed under the name Numida meleagris (helmeted guineafowl). RNAcentral's name for it is "lncRNA (ENSNMEG00000019174.1)". The record is from RNAcentral. Lineage: Eukaryota; Metazoa; Chordata; Aves; Galliformes; Numididae.
AAGCACUGUGUGGGAUGUUGUCUGCUCAGUGCUGUGGCUGAUUUUCAUGCCCUGUCUUGCCCCAAGACUUACUCACUGAUCCAUACAUUCCUUUACAGGAACGCACCUGGAUUUCUUCUCUUAUUUUCACACUUGCAUAGUUUUUCCUUUUGGAUGAUAAUGGCUCUUAUAAUUGCUAUGUGACAUACAAUCUGAGAGGCCUAUCCCAGUGUGAAAGUUAAUACACGUCACAUGCUCAGUCCAAAUCAAGAGUUGAAAAGAGAAGCCUUGCCAGCACAGAACAUCAGCACUUUUUAAUUAUGCUCUUUGUGGUAAAAGGUGGGCCAGUGAGAUGACCUACAGGAGGAAGUCAGCACUUUUUGAGUUUCUUCAAAGGAGACUUUUGAAACUAAGAAAACCUGUAUUUUCACAGAAAAAAAUCAAACAGUAAAUGACCUAAUGCCUGUUACAAAGACACCUGAUUAAAGCGAAUUCAACGUACAGUUUAGAAUAGACUAGCAUCAAAUGGUCUGAAAGGGAACAGAUGAACCAAGAAAAUUGAAAGUCAAUGGAAAUCAUAAAUACCUCCUGAUUACAUGGAUUUUUCCCAGUCACUUUUCAAAAGUAACAAGGAACAUAUGAUCUCUCUGC